RNAcentral lists this ribosomal RNA (490 nucleotides) under uncultured bacterium. Its description in RNAcentral is "partial 16S ribosomal RNA". It matches the Rfam family "Bacterial small subunit ribosomal RNA", at positions 29 to 505 of the family's 1533-position model. The record is from RNAcentral.
AGUGAACGCUGGCGGUAGGCCUAACACAUGCAAGUCGAACGGCAGCACAGUAAGAGCUUGCUCUUACGGGUGGCGAGUGGCGGACGGGUGAGGAAUACAUCGGAAUCUACUUUUUCGUGGGGGAUAACGUAGGGAAACUUACGCUAAUACCACAUACGACCUACGGGUGAAAGCAGGGGAUCUUCGGACCUUGCGCGAUUGAAUGAGCCGAUGUCGGAUUAGCUAGUUGGCGGGGUAAAGGCCCACCAAGGCGACGAUCCGUAGCUGGUCUGAGAGGAUGAUCAGCCACACUGGAACUGAGACACGGUCCAGACUCCUACGGGAGGCAGCAGUGGGGAAUAUUGGACAAUGGGCGCAAGCCUGAUCCAGCCAUACCGCGUGGGUGAAGAAGGCCUUCGGGUUGUAAAGCCCUUUUGUUGGGAAAGAAAAGCAGCAGGUUAAUACCCCGCUGUUCUGACGGUACCCAAAGAAUAAGCACCGGCUAACUUCG